ACAAAAACUCACAAACAUGUCUUUUCCUCUUCCUCACCUUCGUCUUCCUCACCUUCGCCAGUUUUCUACGUUUCUCCAGUCAAUCUAAGCCAUAAAUUGUAUUGCUUUUAACUAUUAGAAUCUCUACUUACAUAAACGUUUGACGUCCUUCAUUAUCCACUCCACCUCUCUCCUUAAUUGUGUGUAGUAAGAAAAUCAAUCUGAUGCGGAGAGACAGCCAUUGAUGUGAGCCACCUCAAAAUCUCAGAUCAAGUACUGAUAUGGAUCAGAAUACUCUAACUCCAUGCUUUGUUUGAUUGCUUCCUAAUGGAUCAAAUCUGAAGAAUUUCGAGGUAUUUCAAGAGAACCAUGUCAGUCGGCUUCCUUAGUAUCUCGGAUCCUUCUUCUUCCCUGGAAAAUUGAAGCCUUUUGAAAUGUUUGAAAAAUCUUCUUAAUCAUCGAAAUUUUUGAGAAGCUACGAAAACGGCGGAGGUUAGGUCCGACAAACUGCAUUUCCGUAGAGUUAAGGAAGAUGAUGAUGAAGUCUUUGUGUUCCGGUGAACAAAUAAGACUUUAAGAUGAAGAAGACAACGAAUCCUAGGUUGGUGUAAGCAGAAGCUACAAUGAUAGCACUUUUGAGAAGAAUUGAGUAUCUGAAAGGAAAACAUAGAAUGCGGUAUGAAUGCAGGCUUGCUCCUCCUCCAUGGACUAACUUGCUGCGUUAUUUUGCUUUUAUGAAAAUCUCUCCAACGUCUUAGAAGGUCACACGUAACAAUCUUUUUUAUUUUAGUUCUGUAUUUUAUUAUUUGUUUAUUUUGCUAAACAUAGUGAUUCUUAUUGCGUAUAGUCUCUCAGAGUUAUUCUAAUAUAGUAAAGGCUUUUAAUCGGAAGACUGAUGUGUCAGGUGAUACAUAGGUGCAGGAGACGCUAACCAAAGUAGUUGAGCUCCUUCCCUAAAUGUGGAUACUGCUGAUUCGUCGCGUGAUACUACUUUGUCUUAUAGACGACCGCUUCUCAAACACAGGAAGCUUGAAUGUUGAUGAUUUGAGGGUGGCUUGAGUGUUAUGGUGAUAUGAUAUAUAUAUAAAUUUACAAUAUUUGCUGACUGAUUAAGCGUUUGUAAACUCUUUAGCAGGGAAAAGAUGAUGAGCCCAAAGACAAUAUGCCUGGAGCCAGCUAACUUUCCUCAGCUUCUUCUAAGCUAGGCAACAACAAUGUGAAGGACACACCGAGAGUUACAGAAUCUGCACUGGGGAACCUGCCUGAGGUGGAUGGCUUCGUAUCCGAGAAUCCAAAGCUCAAGACAAUUGAGCCUGCUGCUAAGAAGGCCCGUACGGGUAUAUGAAUAUGGAAGCCUUUUCUAUGACGUUGUUGUCGAUUAUUUAAUCAAAUAAUGCUUUGGUGUUUUGCCAUUCUAAAACUCUUACGUAUGCUGGUUGAGUUCUUUGCACUAAUAAUAGAAGAAUAAUUAAUAAUCUGUAUUUGUAAGAACUGUUUUGGUUUUGCUCUCUUUAAAGUGGAGAACAAACGUAGAACCCAAAAAGUAUCCAUUUCAUAACUUUUUUUAA
Long non-coding RNA from Raphanus sativus (radish), 1547 nucleotides. RefSeq lists it as uncharacterized. The record is from RefSeq and is a predicted model, not a curated record. The transcript has 3 exons. Lineage: Eukaryota; Viridiplantae; Streptophyta; Magnoliopsida; Brassicales; Brassicaceae.